CAGUCGCCGCGGGAAUACGGAGGGCGCGAGCGUUACCCGGAUUUACUGGGCGUAAAGGGCGUGUAGGCGGCCUGGGGCGUCCCAUGUGAAAGGCCACGGCUCAACCGUGGAGGAGCGUGGGAUACGCUCAGGCUAGAGGGUGGGAGAGGGUGGUGGAAUUCCCGGAGUAGUGGUGAAAUGCGCAGAUACCGGGAGGAACGCCGAUGGCGAAGGCAGCCACCUGGUCCACUUCUGACGCUGAGGCGCGAAAGCGUGGGGAGCAAACCGGAUUAGAGACCCCUGUAGUCCCUGUCUCUUAUAC
RNAcentral lists this ribosomal RNA (301 nucleotides) under uncultured bacterium. RNAcentral describes it as "partial 16S ribosomal RNA". It matches the Rfam family "Bacterial small subunit ribosomal RNA", at positions 509 to 807 of the family's 1533-position model. The record is from RNAcentral.